RNAcentral lists this long non-coding RNA (594 nucleotides) under Chinchilla lanigera (long-tailed chinchilla). Its description in RNAcentral is "lncRNA (ENSCLAG00000026309.1)". The record is from RNAcentral. Lineage: Eukaryota; Metazoa; Chordata; Mammalia; Rodentia; Chinchillidae.
GGUGCCUGCAUAUGGAGUGAGGGUGUGUGAUAACUGAAUUAGUCUGCUGACUGGCUUAGCACAGUUCUGGGCAUGGGUAAAGGGAAGGCCCACACUGGAGUGGGUGGCACCCACAGUAGGCUUGUAUUUAGCUGGCUACCUGGGCUUCAUGGUCACCUUGGGAGCACAGAGUGACACCUCCCAGGAAGCUGUGACCUGUGUCUCUCUGCAAGCAACCUUUCCUGAUACAGUUCUCGGUAGCAUCCGUUCACUCUCCCUCGGGGCGCUAAUGACUUCUCAGGCUCCACUAAGGUAAUAAUGGCUGAACGUUAGUGAAGAUGGUAAUAAAUGAGGGAAAUGCUACUCCAGACAGAGACAGAGAAAGGUGAAGAGAUAUUAAUAUUUUCCACAACAGGGUUUCUCUGAGUCUUUUUUUUUCCCCCAUACAAAAUUAUUCCAAACCUAUGCUUGGAGAAUGAAAACCUCCAUGGGCUGGUACAUGCUGUUGAGCUUGACUAUGCAUAUAAGGUAAAAUAUGGAGGAUUCAAAAAUAUAACAAGGAAUAAAAUCAGAAAACCUCCAAUGAUUAUUUUUGAUGUUUUAAAAUGAAAAGAG